This 468-nucleotide ribosomal RNA is filed under the name uncultured bacterium. RNAcentral's name for it is "partial 16S ribosomal RNA". It matches the Rfam family "Bacterial small subunit ribosomal RNA", at positions 28 to 507 of the family's 1533-position model. The record is from RNAcentral.
GACGAACGCUGGCGGCGUGCUUAACACAUGCAAGUCGAACGGAAAGGCGCUGCGUUUGUUCGUUUCUCGAUUGGCGAACGGGUGAGUAACACGUGAGUAACCUGCCCUUGACUUUGGGAUAACACCAGGAAACUGGGGCUAAUACCGCAUAUAAUCUCCUGCUGCAUGUGGGUGGUUGGAAAGUUUCGGCGUUUGGGGAUGGACUCGCGGCUUAUCAGCUUGUUUGUGGGGUAGUUGCGUACCAAGGCUUUGACAGGUAGCCGGCCUGAGAGGGUGAACGGCCACAUUGGGCCUGCGGUAGGGAGCAGACUCGUACGGGCGGCAGUAGUGGAGAACAUUACGCAGCAAGGCGACGUCUGAUGCAGAAACGCCGCGUGCGUGAUGACCUGCUAUGGGUUGUAAACAAAUGUCGAAUGAGACGAAGCCUGCGUGACGGUAAUGGGUCAAAAAGCAACGGCUAACUACGUG